This 497-nucleotide ribosomal RNA is filed under the name uncultured bacterium. Its description in RNAcentral is "partial 16S ribosomal RNA". It matches the Rfam family "Bacterial small subunit ribosomal RNA", at positions 28 to 507 of the family's 1533-position model. The record is from RNAcentral.
GAUGAACGCUGGCGGCGUGCCUAAUACAUGCAAGUCGAGCGAACGGACGAGAAGCUUGCUUCUCUGAUGUUAGCGGCGGACGGGUGAGUAACACGUGGAUAACCUACCUAUAAGACUGGGAUAACUUCGGGAAACCGGAGCUAAUACCGGAUGAUAUUUUGAACCGCAUGGUUCAAAAGUGAAAGACGGUCUUGCUGUCACUUAUAGAUGGAUCCGCGCCUCAUUAGCGAGUUGGUAAGGUAACGGCUUACCAAGGCAACGAUGCAUAGCCGGCCUGAGAGGACGACGGGCCACACUGGGACUGAGACACGGCCCAGACUCCUACGGGAGGCAGCAGUGGGGAAUUUUGGACAAUGGGCGAAAGCCUGAUCCAGCAAUGCAGCGUGUGUGAAGAAGGCCUUCGGGUUGUAAAACACUGUUGUCCGGAAAGAAAUCCUUGGCUCUAAUACAGUCGGGGGAUGACGGUACCGGAUGAAUAAGCACCGGCUAACUACGUG